UAUUUUAUUUAAAUUUCAUGUCCUGCAUAUUUAUUUCCUAUGUUGCUGUUAAUGCUGCAACUUCAUCUUCUAAACUUAUUUAAACCAUUUUUUUUUUAAAUAUAUAGUUUCGGACAGCUGAAGCAAGUCACACAUUUUAUUUUACUUGUUGAACUUUUUUAUAGCAAAUUGAUGAGAGGACGGCUUUGUAAUGCAGUUAAGCACACUGUGUGCUCUUUCCCGUGUAUAUUGGAUUGACAGGCCCACUCCUCAGAGCCUGGUGGUUCCUAUAGGGUUUUGUACCUUUGUUUUUUGAUGUUUGGUGUUUUUAGGUGGGAUAUCUGUUGAAACUAGUUAGGGAUAGGUGGGAUAUCUGUUGAAACUAGUUAGGGAUAGGUGGGAUAUCUGUUGAAACUAAUUAGGGAUAGGUGGGAUAUCUGUUAAAACUAGUUAGGGAUAGGUGGGAUAUCUGUUGAAACUAGUUAGGGAUAAGUGGGAUAUCUGUUAAAACUAGUUAAGGAUAGGUGGGAUAUCUGUUAAAACUAGUUAAGGAUAGGUGGGAUAUCUGUUAAAACUAGUUAAGGAUAGGCGGGAUAUCUGUUGAAACUAGUUAGGGAUAUCUGUUGAAACUAGUUAGGGAUAGGCGGGAUAUCUGUUAAAACUAGUUAGGGAUAGGUGGGGUAUCUGUUAAAACUAGUUAAGGAUAGGUGGGAUAUCUGUUGAAACUAGUUAAGGAUAGGCGGGAUAUCUGUUGAAACUAGUUAAGGAUAGGUGGGAUAUCUGUUAAAACUAGUUAAGGAUAGGCGGGAUAUCUGUUGAAACUAGUUAAGGAUAGGUGGGAUAUCUGUUAAAACUAGUUAGGGAUAGGUGGGAUAUCUGUUAAAACUAGUUAGGGAUAGGUGGGAUAUCUGUUGAAACUAGUUAGGGAUAGGUGGGAUAUCUGUUAAAACUAGUUAGGGAUAGGUGGGAUAUCUGUUAAAACUAGUUAGGGAUAGGCGGGAUAUCUGUUAAAACUAGUUAAGGAUAGGUGGGAUAUCUGUUAAAACUAGUUAGGGAUAGGUGGGAUAUCUGUUGAAACUAGUUAGGGAUAGGUGGGAUAUCUGUUAAAACUAGUUAGGGAUAUCUGUUGAAACUAGUUAGGGAUAGGCGGGAUAUCUGUUAAAACUAGUUAGGGAUAGGUGGGGUAUCUGUUAAAACUAGUUAGGGAUAGGUGGGAUAUCUGUUGAAACUAGUUAGGGAUACGUGGGAUAUCUGUUGAAACUAGUUAGGGAUAGGUGGGAUAUCUGUUAAAACUAGUUAGGGAUAGGUGGGAUAUCUGUUAAAACUAGUUAGGAAUAGGUGGGAUAUCUGUUAAAACUAGUUAGGGAUAGGUGGGAUAUCUGUUAAAACUAGUUAGGGAUAGGUGGGAUAUCUGUUAAAACUAGUUAGGGAUAGGCAGGAUAUAUGUUAAAACUAGUUAGGGAUAGGUGGGAUAUCUGUUAAAACUAGUUAGGGAUAGGUGGGAUAUCUGUUGAAACUAGUUAGGGAUAGGUGGGAUAUCUGUUGAAACUAGUUAGGGAUAUCUGUUGAAACUAGUUAGGGAUAGGUGGGAUAUCUGUUAAAACUAGUUAGGGAUAGGUGGGAUAUCUGUUGAAACUAGUUAGGGAUAGGUGGGAUAUCUGUUAAAACUAGUUAGGGAUAUUUGUUGAAACGAGUUAGGGAUAGGUGGGAUAUCUGUUAAAACUAGUUAGGGAUAGGUGGGAUAUCUGUUGAAACUAGUUAAGGAUUGGUGGGAUAUCUGUUAAAACUAGUUAGGGAUAGGUGGGAUAUCUGUUGAAACUAGUUAGGGAUAGGUGGGAUAUCUGUUAAAACUAGUUAGGGAUAUCUGUUGAAACUAGUUAGGGAUAGGUGGGAUAUCUGUUAAAACUAGUUAGGGAUAGGUGGGAUAUCUGUUAAAACUAGUUAGGGAUAGGUGGGAUAUCUGUUAAAACUAGUUAGGGAUAUCUGUUGAAACUAGUUAGGGAUAGGUGGGAUAUCUGUUAAAACUAGUUAGGGAUAGGUGGGAUAUCUGUUAAAACUAGUUAGGGAUAGGUGGGAUAUCUGUUAAACCUAGUUAGGGAUAGGUGGGAUAUCUGUUAAAACUAGUUAGGGAUAGGUGGGAUAUCUGUUAAAACUAGUUAGGGAUAGGUGGGAUAUCUGUUAAAACUAGUUAGGGAUAGGUGGGAUAUCUGUUGAAACUAGUUAGGGAUAGGUGGGAUAUCUGUUAAAACUAGUUAGGGAUAGGUGGGAUAUCUGUUGAAACUAGUUAGGGAUAUCGGUUGAAACUAGUUAAGGAUAGGUGGGAUAUCUGUUAAAACUAGUUAGGGAUAGGUGGGAUAUCUGUUGAAACUAGUUAAGGAUUGGUGGGAUAUCUGUUAAAACUAGUUAGGGAUAGGUGGGAUAUCUGUUGAAACUAGUUAGGGAUAUCGGUUGAAACUAGUUAAGGAUAGGUGGGAUAUCUGUUAAAACUAGUUAGGGAUAGGUGGGAUAUCUGUUGAAACUAGUUAAGGAUUGGUGGGAUAUCUGUUAAAACUAGUUAGGGAUAGGUGGGAUAUCUGUUAAAACUAGUUAGGGAUAUCUGUUGAGACGAGUUAGGGAUACGUGGGAUAUCUGUUAAAACUAGUUAGGGAUAGGUGGGAUAUCUGUUGAAACUAGUUAGGGAUAGGUGGGAUAUCUGUUAAAACUAGUUAGGGAUAUCUGUUGAAACUAGUUAGGGAUAGGUGGUAUAUCUGUUAAAACUAGUUAGGGAUAGGUGGUAUAUCUGUUGAAACUAGUUAGGGAUAGGUGGGAUAUCUGUUAAAACUAGUUAGGGAUAGGUGGGAUAUCUGUUGAAACUAGUUAGGGAUAGGUGGGAUAUCUGUUAAAACUAGUUAGGGAUAGGUGGGAUAUCUGUUAAGCACUUUGUGACAACGGCUUUAUAAAAAAAUGGUUAAAAACUUUCUGAAAACCGUUUUCAUUUGAUUUUGACUUUUGA
Oncorhynchus mykiss (rainbow trout) is the source of this 2971-nucleotide non-coding RNA. The record is from RefSeq and is a predicted model, not a curated record. NCBI's taxonomy places the organism in Eukaryota, Metazoa, Chordata, Actinopteri, Salmoniformes, Salmonidae.